RNAcentral lists this ribosomal RNA (1034 nucleotides) under Desulfobacterales bacterium. RNAcentral's name for it is "partial 23S ribosomal RNA". It matches the Rfam family "Bacterial large subunit ribosomal RNA", at positions 1 to 971 of the family's 2925-position model. The record is from RNAcentral. Lineage: Bacteria; Pseudomonadati; Thermodesulfobacteriota; Desulfobacteria; Desulfobacterales.
GGCCAAGCUAUUAAGGGCAAACGGUGGAUGCCUUGGUACUGAGAGGCGAUGAAAGACGCGGCUAGCUGCGAUAAGCCUCGGGGAGCUGCUUAACAAGCUUUGAUCCGGGGAUUUCUGAAUGGGGAAACCCGUCUCGGGUAGUGCCGGGACAGCUGCAACUGAAUACAUAGGUUGUAGCGGCCAACGCAGAGAACUGACACAUCUUAGUAUCUGCAGGAACAGAAAGCAAUUGCGAUUCUCCUAGUAGCGGCGAGCGAACGGGGAACAGCCCAAACCGAAUAUAUGUCAAGCCCGGAAGCGUUGUAUAUUCGGGGUCGUGGGAUUCGAUUGGACGGAUUUCCGGAUCCGUCGGGAAGUUACAAAACUGAUUUAUAGCUGAAUCGCCUGGAAAGGCGAACCAUAGAAGGUGAUAGUCCCGUAAGCGAAAUGAAUCAGACUUCCUGGAUCGAAUUCCCAAGUACUGCGGGACACGAGAAACCCUGUGGGAAUUCGGGAGGACCAUCUCCUAAGGCUAAAUACUACUCAGUGACCGAUAGUGAACUAGUACCGUGAGGGAAAGGUGAAAAGUACCCCGGUGAGGGGAGUGAAAUAGUACCUGAAACCGUUUGCUUACAAGCAGUGGGAGGGCUAUGAACAUCGCUGCGGCGAUAUUCAGCCUGACCGCGUGCCUUUUGCAUAAUGAGUCAGCGAGUUACUUUACGUAGCGAGGUUAAGCCGAUAGGUGUAGCCGGAGCGAAAGCAAGUCUGAACAGGGCGAAUUAGUUGCGUGGAGUAGACCCGAAACCAAGUGAUCUAUCCAUGGCCAGGGUGAAGCGCAAGUAAAAUUGCGUGGAGGCCCGAACCAGUAUAGGUUGAAAACUAUUUGGAUGAGCUGUGGAUAGGGGUGAAAGGCCAAACAAACUUGGAAAUAGCUGGUUCUCCCCGAAAUAUAUUUAGGUAUAGCCUUGCAAAUUAAGUGACGGGGGUAGAGCACUGGAUGGGCUAGGGGUCCUACCAGAUUACCAAACCUAACCAAACUCCGAAUACCGUCAACU